This 253-nucleotide ribosomal RNA is filed under the name uncultured bacterium. Its description in RNAcentral is "partial 16S ribosomal RNA". It matches the Rfam family "Bacterial small subunit ribosomal RNA", at positions 524 to 776 of the family's 1533-position model. The record is from RNAcentral.
UACGGAGGGGGCGAGCGUUGUCCGAAGUUACUGGGCGUAAAGCGCGCGUAGGUGGGAGCAUAAGUCCGCUGUGAAAGCCCGAGGCUCAACCUCGGAGGGUCGGUGGAUACUGUGCUUCUUGAAGGUGCUAGGGGAAGAUGGAAUUACCAGUGUAGCGGUGAAAUGCGUAGAUAUUGGUAGGAACACCAGUGGCGAAGGCGGUCUUCUGGGGCACUCUUGACGCUGAGGCGCGAAAGCUGGGGGAGCGAACGGG